GGUCCCGUGGUGUAGCGGUUAGCACUCAGAACUCUGAAUCCUGCGACGGGAAUUCAAAUCUUCCCGGUACCU
Molecule: transfer RNA, 72 nt
Filed under: Teladorsagia circumcincta
Lineage: Eukaryota; Metazoa; Nematoda; Chromadorea; Rhabditida; Trichostrongylidae
Rfam family: tRNA
About the family: Transfer RNA (tRNA) molecules are approximately 80 nucleotides in length.
Source: Rfam by way of RNAcentral